RNAcentral lists this transfer RNA (64 nucleotides) under Petrobius brevistylis. RNAcentral's name for it is "tRNA-Arg". The record is from RNAcentral. Lineage: Eukaryota; Metazoa; Arthropoda; Insecta; Archaeognatha; Machilidae.
AAGUGUGAAGCGUUUUCGCCCUUAGUUUCGACCUAAGCCACAGGUGACUUGUCACCCUCGCUUU